This is a long non-coding RNA of Helianthus annuus (common sunflower), 1455 nucleotides long. RefSeq lists it as uncharacterized. The record is from RefSeq and is a predicted model, not a curated record. The transcript is spliced from 4 exons. Lineage: Eukaryota; Viridiplantae; Streptophyta; Magnoliopsida; Asterales; Asteraceae.
CUCUUCACUUUCUUUCUUUAUAUCUCAAUUGAAGCGCGAUUGAAGAAGCAAAUCAAUGAUUUCAAUCUAGAUGAAGCCUGAAGCGAUCAAUGCACCCUCAUUCAGGUUCUAGGGUUUCAUCAAAAUCUCUAUCCAAAUCAAGCAAAUCCAUUUAGUUCUCCUUUCUCAUCACAAAAGGUAACCUCUCCAACCUCAAUCGACUAUGUUCUUUUGAGUUCUGUAUAAUGACCAUCUUUCUCUCCUUCAAAUCAAGCAAAAGUUACACAUGCGGUGUCAUUCUAGAACACCAAGAUAUCUGUGUAAAGUUAAGCACUUCGAUCAGAUCUGUAAUGGUGAGGUUUUAUAUAUCUCGGAUUUCUCAACAAACGACAACGUAUCGAUUUUAUUCAGAGAUUGUGGCCGGAAUCUGAGCCGACAUAAUGGAUGCUCUAGGGUUUAUGAAGGUUUGAUGAACUCUGCUGCGUGUACUGGCGGUAAUCAUUUGCGUAAAUUUGACGCCAUUUUUGAGGUUGUAUAUAUUAUGUUUCUUUAGUUUUGGUUAUUUUUUCAUGUUUUUGACUUUAAUUUUGUUUUGUAGAUUAAUAGAUUAUGUGAUUGUUGUUACUUGUUUUAUGGUGUUAGUGUAAUAAGCUGGCUCAUUGACAUGAUUCUUUAAGAGUUAUUUAUUUUUUAAUACAGUAGUAUAUUUAAGAGCAACUUGUGGUAUUGAUAUUACUUGCAAUUGUUGUAGAUUUUGGUUUGGUGGAUUAUAAAUGUUGUUAAUAAAGAAAUUAAAAACAGGAGUUACUGUUUUUAAUUAAUAGAUCAUACGAUUGCUAUUGUUUACUUCAUUUUAUCAGCAUAAAAAUGGUUUAGGUGGUAGGAUUCUUGAGCAGAUCGGUGGCAACUGAGAUGAGAUUCCAGCAGUACCUGGUUGUCAAGGUUGGUUCCGACAACCUGAUUUUGAUUUAGCGGCCACAGGUAUCUUUUUCGAGAACGAAGUUCUGGAGGCUUUAAUGAUGAUUCCAACAGCUGCAGUAGCCAUUUGUGACACCGCGAGAGGCUAUUAGAGAUUAAGAGCAAAUCAUUAAAGAAAUCAAACAACUUGAAGCCAACAGGGAUUAGGUUGUUGCAAAUACCUACUAUGAGGACUGGAGUUAAAAAAUCUGCUGUUGAAAGAGAUGUCAUUCAAGACCAGGUCAAAUUCAUUUAUAGCUUGAAUGUACUUCAUUUCAACUUAUAAGCUGCCAAGAAGCACCUUCAAACAGCACUACCUCUGAAUGUAGUUCUUUCUUUUUAUUUUUUUGCAUUUAAACCCAUCGCAGGUUCAAAAACUGUGCUUUUUUACAUUGGCAUUCGAGACCUUUAUAGGUGAAUUUGUUUGGGUUGAUGUUGGGCGGAAUGGCUUUGAAAAGCUUGAUGUCCCAAUUUUUGUAUGUCAUUCGUCUUAAAAAUAUAGUAAUCAAUUACUGCUUA